AUCUAUGGCCAUACCAUCCUGAAUGUGCAUGAUCUCAUCUGAUCCAGAGCUAAGCAGGGCCAGCUUUGGUUAGUACAUGAAUGGGAUAAAUAGUGUGGGCUGAAGGAUGUAAUAA
RNAcentral lists this ribosomal RNA (115 nucleotides) under Peromyscus maniculatus bairdii (prairie deer mouse). Lineage: Eukaryota; Metazoa; Chordata; Mammalia; Rodentia; Cricetidae. The record is from RNAcentral.